Long non-coding RNA from Mus musculus (house mouse), 410 nucleotides. RefSeq annotates it as predicted gene, 52686. The transcript has 2 exons. The record is from RefSeq and is a predicted model, not a curated record. NCBI's taxonomy places the organism in Eukaryota, Metazoa, Chordata, Mammalia, Rodentia, Muridae.
UUUGGCCUGAGGGAGGAGGCCGGGUGAUCAGGGCAGAGUCAGGCCACCCAGGACCCCGGUCUCCCGCGAAGAGGCAGCCUCUGUAGACAGCAUUUCCCUGCCCUCCUCAGCCCUUCGGAUAAUCUGGCGCCAGGUGGAGCCCGGGCACACCCUAGCUACCAGCUGACAAGUUCUGUUAAGGUUCUCCCACCCCUUCUCCACGUUGACAGCCCCUUAUUCCUCUCGGAUCCCCGCCCCCUUCCUCUAGCCCUGCCCCUCACCUCCUGCAGCUUGCAGUCGCGCAGGCUCAGCGUGGCCAGGACGCCACUGCCGCGCACGUCGGGGAUGUCCUGCCACAGCGAGAAGGUGGAGCCCCGCGUCGAGCGUUGCGCGCGGAAAGAGCUGCUCGGGGAGAGGUUGGCGCGCGGUGG